CCCGGCACGGGAAGGCGAACUCUCGCGAGAAGGCCGCCAGCUUCGGGGGCAACUGCCGCGGGACCUCGAACUCUCGCGCGACAGCAACCAAUUCGUUAGAAGCGCGUUGCAGGCGCGCGAAACAUGGCGCGGCACGGGCCGCCGUUGAGCUGGCUGGACGCGCAGCAGGAGCGCGACGUGCGGGAGCUCGUCCGGGGUGUCGCCGGCCUCCAGGACGAAGCAGACCCCAACUUCCAGCUCGCCCUAAACUUCGCCUGGUCCAACUUCAGAUUUCAUCGUUUCUUGGAUGUGAACAGCCACAAAAUAGAAAAAACAAUCGAAGGAAUUUAUGAAAAAUUUAUCAUUCAUUCUGAUCUCAGCAAAGCUGCUAGCUGGAAGAGAUUAACUGAGGAAUUUCUAAACGCACCACUUCCCAGCAUAAAGGAAAUAAAGACAGAUGCACAUUAUUCCAUACUGUCACUUCUUCUGUGUCUGUCAGACUCUCCUUCAAACAGCAAUUAUGUGGAGACACCAAGAGAUAAAGAAGUGGAAAAGAAAGAUGAUUUUGACUGGGGAAAAUACUUGAUGGAAGGUGAAGAAAUGGACAUUGGUCCUUACAUGGACACACCAAAUUGGUCUGAAGAAAGUGAAGAGGAAAAUGAUCAGCUGCCCUUAAGCAGAGAGGACUCUGGAAUUCAGGUAGACAGGACACCGUUAGAAGAACAAGACCAAAACAGAAAACUGGAUCCUUGUAUCAGUUGGAAAGCAGAUGAGCCAGAUGACCGAAGCUGGCUGGAACAUCAUGUGGUCCAUCAGUAUUGGACAGCCAGGCCCUCCCAGUUUCCUCAUAGUUUACAUUUGCACUCCAAUUUAGCUGCUGUCUGGGACCAGCACUUGUACAGCAGUGAUCCAUUGUAUGUUCCAGAUGACAGGGUUUUGGUUACUGAGACUCAGGUUAUUCGGGAAACCCUAUGGUUACUUUCAGGAGUGAAAAAGCUCUUUAUAUUUCAGUUAAUAGAUGGGAAGGUAACUGUGAGAAACAAUAUUAUAGUAACUCAUUUAACACAUAGCUGUUUACGAUCUGUGCUGGAACAAAUAGCAGCAUAUGGCCAGGUUGUGUUUCGACUCCAGCAGUUCAUUGAUGAAGUCAUGGGACACAGUUCCGAGAGCAUGCUGCCUGGAAGUGGGUCUGUUCCUAAGAAGUCAACUGAAGCCCCCUUUAGAACCUACCAGGCUUUCAUGUGGGCCCUGUACAAAUAUUUCAUUAGUUUCAAAGAGGAACUUGCAGAAAUCGAGAAGUGCAUCAUCAAUAAUGAUGCUACAAUAACUCUUGCAAUAGUGGUGGACAAGUUGGCACCUCGAUUGGCUCAGCUCAAGGUUCUGCACAAAGUGUUUAGUACUGGAGUAGCAGAAGUUCCACCUGAUACUCGAAAUGUUGUCCGGGCCUCUCACCUGCUCAACACGCUGUACAAGGCCAUUCUUGAAUAUGACAAUGUUGGAGAAGCCUCUGAGCAAACCGUCUCCCUGCUGUUCUCUCUCUGGGUGGAAACAGUACGGCCUUACCUGCAGACGGUGGACGAGUGGAUCGUGCAUGGGCAUCUGUGGGAUGGCGCCAGGGAGUUCAUCAUCCAGAGAAACAAAAAUGUUCCAGUUAAUCACAGAGACUUCUGGUAUGCAACUUACACGCUAUAUAGUGUAUCAGAAAAGACAGAAAAUGAAGAAAAAAUGAGUGAUAAUGCUAGUGCGAGUUCCGGCAGUGACCAGGGGCCCUCCAGCAGGCAGCACACCAUGGUGUCCUUCCUCAAACCUGUCCUGAAGCAGAUCAUAAUGGCUGGCAAGUCGAUGCAGCUGCUGAAGAACCUGCAGUGUGCGGAGAGCACCACCUGCCAGGCAGGAGCCAGAGAUGCAGAAAGAAAAAGUUUAUACACUCUCUUUCUGGAAUCUGUACAGUCCCGUCUUCGACAUGGAGAAGAUUCCACUCCACAGGUUCUUACUGAGCAACAGGCAACCAAGGAGAACCUAAUGAAGAUGCAGUCCAUUGCUGAAAGGCAUCUUGAACUGGAUGAUGUUCAUGAUCCCCUGCUUGCCAUUAACUUUGCAAGGAUGUAUUUGGAGCAGAGUGACUUUCACGAGAAGUUUGCUGGUGGUGAUGUAUGUGUGGAUAGAUCAUCGGAAUCUGUGACAUGCCAGACUUUUGAGUUAACGCUGAGAUCCUGCCUCUAUCCUCAUAUUGACAAGCAGUAUCUAGAUUGCUGUGGAAAUCUCAUGCAAACUCUAAAAAAAGAUUACAGGUUGGUAGAAUACUUGCAAGCCAUGAGAAAUUUUUUCUUAAUGGAAGGAGGAGAUACCAUGUAUGACUUCUACACAUCCAUUUUUGAUAAAAUAAGAGAAAAGGAAACAUGGCAGAAUGUGUCUUUUCUUAAUGUCCAACUCCAAGAAGCAGUAGGACAGCGUUAUCCUGAGGAUAGUUCACGAAAAUGGAGGCCAGGCACGGUGGCUCAUACCUGUAAUCCCAGCACUUUGGGAGGCAGAGGCGCUGGAUCACCUGAGGUCAGGAGUUCGAGACCAGCCUGGCCAACAUGUUUAUCUAUAUCUUUUGAAAAUGUUGACACAGCUAAGAAGAAACUGCCUGUUCAUAUCUUAGACGGUCUGACCCUCAGCUACAAGGUCCCAUGGCCCGUGGACAUUGUUAUAAGUUUGGAAUGUCAAAAAAUUUAUAAUCAAGUGUUUCUUCUCUUACUGCAAAUAAAGUGGGCAAAAUAUAGUCUGGAUGUUUUACUUUUUGGUGAACUGGUUAGUACUGCGGAAAAACCACGACUUCAAGAAGGCCUUGUACGUGAACAAGACACAGUUGCUCAGUUCGGACCACAAAAAGAACCAGUAAGACAGCAGAUUCAUCGCAUGUUCCUCUUAAGAGUGAAGCUCAUGCAUUUCGUGAACAGCUUGCACAACUACAUCAUGACCAGGAUUCUCCACAGUACAGGGCUGGAGUUUCAACAUCAAGUCGAGGAAGCCAAGGAUUUAGAUCAGUUGAUUAAAAUUCACUAUAGGUAUCUGUCAACCAUCCAUGACCGGUGUCUGCUGAGAGAAAAGGUCAGCUUUGUGAAAGAAGCUAUCAUGAAGGUGUUGAACUUGGCCCUCAUGUUUGCAGACGGUUGGCAGGCAGGCCUGGGCACUUGGCGAAUGGAAUCUAUAGAGAAAAUGGAGUCUGAUUUUAAAAACUGCCAUAUGUUUCUUGUAACCAUUUUAAACAAAGCCGUCUGUAGAGGAUCCUUUCCCCAUUUGGAAUCUCUAGCGCUGUCACUCAUGGCUGGCAUGGAACAAAGUUAAAUGUCUUCAGUGUGAGAAAUACCUCCAACUUCAUCAUCAUACAUGUACAUUUCCACCAUGUGCAGCUGAAAAGGCUGCCUAUUGUCUGCAUUCGAUGCUGGAGCCUGCUGUCCACAAGGCUUGCGUCAGGAAAGGAAGAUGGAUGUAAAGUGAGAGGAAGGAACAAGCUGGCAUGCCCAUUGUGUGCUGGGGCCCCGCAGCGGGGACCCAAACCUGCCUCCGUUCUUGCUGCUUCUGGCCUUGGUGGUGUGGAGGUGCUGCAGAGCCUAGGGCCUCUCAUCGUGACGACGAGCCAGAGGCCUCCUUCGGGAGCCAGAGGAUCCAGAGAGUCAACGAAAAUAAAACUUCAGACUGUCUGAUUUAUUGUGCCAGGGAGGAAGUUGAGCCCUAGAGACUGUCAGGUUGCAUCACUGCAGUUCUCAGAUUCACUCUCUUCCCCAUUGUUCUUGUUCUGUAAAUGGCUAAGAGGGACCAGAGACCAGACCGCCCCGCUUCCAACCACUGGUUUUGUUAUACAUGAACCGCCUCUUUUCUGUCCUGUAUCUGACGCGGACCAGACGGUGCUCAAGACGCUAUCACUAGUACCUCUUCCAUGCGGAAUGUUAAAUACGCCUUGCUAGGAAGAAAAAGACCAACUUGGCUAAUCAGAUGCUCAUAACUGUGCAUGAAGUCUGACAGAGAGAGAGGUUCACAUGUUGGUACACUUGCCUAACCUUUGUCUGAAUAAGCAUUCCCAAACAUCUACACUUUGGAACACUGACCUCUGUUCUUUGACAUCUGUAGGCCGGGCGCGGUGGCUCACGCCUGUAAUCCCAGCACUUUGGGAGGCUGAGG
Molecule: RNA transcript, 4143 nt
Organism: Cercocebus atys (sooty mangabey)
Lineage: Eukaryota; Metazoa; Chordata; Mammalia; Primates; Cercopithecidae
Gene: TUBGCP5
Gene name: tubulin, gamma complex associated protein 5
Exons: 25
Source: RefSeq, a predicted model, not a curated record